AGAUUGAACGCUGGCGGCAUGCUUUACACAUGCAAGUCGAACGGUAACGCGGGGGCAACCCUGGCGACGAGUGGCGAACGGGUGAGUAAUACAUCGGAACGUGCCCAGUAGUGGGGGAUAGUUCGGCGAAAGCCGGAUUAAUACCGCAUACGACCUACGGGUGAAAGCGGGGGAUCGCAAGACCUCGCGCUAUUGGAGCGGCCGAGUGGCAGAUUAGUCUUGGUUGGGUAGGGUAAAACGCCUACCGAAGGCGACGAUCUGUAGCUGGUCUGAGAGGACGACCAGCCACACGUGGGACUGGAGACCACCGGCCCAAGCCUACCGUACGGGAGCAGCAGGUGGGGUAAUUUGGACUAAGUGGG
RNAcentral lists this ribosomal RNA (362 nucleotides) under uncultured soil bacterium. Its description in RNAcentral is "bacterial SSU rRNA". It matches the Rfam family "Bacterial small subunit ribosomal RNA", at positions 26 to 377 of the family's 1533-position model. The record is from RNAcentral.